This 843-nucleotide long non-coding RNA is filed under the name Equus caballus (horse). Its description in RNAcentral is "lncRNA (ENSECAG00000059602.1)". Lineage: Eukaryota; Metazoa; Chordata; Mammalia; Perissodactyla; Equidae. The record is from RNAcentral.
AUAUAAUAAACUAUAUUUAAUCUAAUACUAAUAUUAGAGAAAAUAUAAUUAAAGGUAAAAGAAAUAAUAGGGUAUUAUUUCUUGGGAAAAGAUGGAUUAUUUAGAAGUGGUGUUGGCUCAUUACAUGGAGAACAAUAAAGCUAGAGGACGUCCUCAUGUUGUUAAAGAGAUAUAUGUGAAAAUAAAGAUACAAAAUUAAUAGAAGAGAAUGUUGGAGAAUUUCUUGGAAAAGUCCCAAAACUUAUAAACCAUAAAAGUAAAAAUUAAUGGAUUAGAUGACAUCAAAAUGAAAGACUCCAGGUCAACUGACAAAGGCUAAUAUUUACCAAGAAAAAUUUUAAGUAUAUUCAUUUCUCUAAUCUUCCUAACACUCCCAUGAGGUUGGAGUCGUGGUUACCCUGUUUUACAGAGAGAAAGCAGGCACAGAUCAGUAAGUAACGUGUCCUGGGUCCCAUCAGGAGUGGCGGUCGGCCUGAGAGCCCUGUGCUCCACCACUACACUGUGUCAACUCUGCAAGACAACACAGACAAACAAAACAGGAGCAUACCGGAGCAUAGCACUGAAUGUGAGCCCUGCCUGCCUGGAGCCCUCCUCAGAAGGAAGACUUUGCUGAUGACGCACUUUCCGGUGUCUUGACUCUCCCCACGUAGGAUAAUUCAGGUAUGGGCCACCACGAAAUCACUGAGCGGGGUAAUCAUGCAAAGGCCAGCAUGCCUCACUCAGGAAAAGAAAGGGACGCUGAUUUUUAGCUUGUUUAUAUAGCGUAGUGGUCAGUGUUCUUAUUUCAUGGUUAUCAUCUUAUUUUAUCCUCAGAACAGCCCUGUUGGAUAAGUAUUAUCACCC